Molecule: ribosomal RNA, 627 nt
Filed under: Aplosporella javeedii
Lineage: Eukaryota; Fungi; Ascomycota; Dothideomycetes; Botryosphaeriales; Aplosporellaceae
Description: partial large subunit ribosomal RNA
Rfam family: Eukaryotic large subunit ribosomal RNA
Source: RNAcentral
UGCAUAUCCAAAAAGCGGAGGAAAAGAAACCAACAGGGAUUGCCUCAGUAACGGCGAGUGAAGCGGCAACAGCUCAAAUUUGAAAUCUGGCCCUUUCAGGGUCCGAGUUGUAAUUUGUAGAGGAUGCUUCGGCGAGAGCUCCCGUCUAAGUUCCCUGGAACGGGACGUCAUAGAGGGUGAGAAUCCCGUAUGUGAUGGGUUGCUCGAGCCAUGUGAAGCUCCUUCGACGAGUCGAGUUGUUUGGGAAUGCAGCUCUAAAUGGGAGGUAAAUUUCUUCUAAAGCUAAAUACCGGCCAGAGACCGAUAGCGCACAAGUAGAGUGAUCGAAAGAUGAAAAGCACUUUGGAAAGAGAGUUAAAAAGUACGUGAAAUUGUUGAAAGGGAAGCGCUUGCAACCAGACUUGUCCGCAGUUGUUCAGCCGGUCUCCUGACCGGCGUACUCUUCUGCGGCCAGGCCAGCAUCAGUUCGGGCGGUUGGAUAAAGGCCUCGGGAAUGUGGCUCUCUUCGGGGAGUGUUAUAGCCCGGGGCGGAAUGCAGCCAGCCUGGACUGAGGAUCUCGCUUCGGCAAGGAUGCUGGCGUAAUGGUUGUAAGCGGCCCGUCUUGAAACACGGACCAAAGCUCUAAA